GGAAAGUGGUCAUCCUAAGCCAAGACCCUUUCAGAAGAACAGAAGGCCAAAGUCUUGAAUGGACAGUGCAAUUUUGACCUCCCAGAUAUUUUUAAUAAUGAUUUGGUACACACUAACACACUAUCCAAGCUACUGGAGCAGGCUAUGAGUUAUCCUGAAGAUGUAGUUUUGUUUUGGUUCUCUUUAGUACUCGAUAGCCAACAAGCCCAAGACAUGUCUCAUCUUAGUGUUGUUGUUGACACUCAUUCAGAGAUCAUGCU
RNAcentral lists this long non-coding RNA (260 nucleotides) under Homo sapiens (human). RNAcentral describes it as "non-protein coding lnc-PTGS2-5:1". Lineage: Eukaryota; Metazoa; Chordata; Mammalia; Primates; Hominidae. The record is from RNAcentral.